GUUGGAUUGCGCUGAAGAGGCGCAACAGUUGGCUCAGGUAUUGAAUUAAAAGAACCUGAUCCAGGUCUAGUUUUUGCUCCAGCAAUUCUUCCUGACUGAAUAGUACUAAUAGGAAUAGACGUCAAUCUUGCAGAAUCCAACCUAUGACAAACUGUAUGAGAAAACUUUGUUCUCCUAAUCCAAGAAUUAGCUUCAUCAUCCAUUUCUUCAAUCAGCUUACAACACUAGAUAACCAAUAAAAAAUUUGUUCUUUUCCUCCCCCUCCACCUCAGAAAAAGAUUCAAAUUCAAGAAUUCUCUUUGCCAAAUUUUCUAUUGACAAUUCCUUCUAGUCCAUCAAAGGAUGGUAGUAAAUCAAGAAAUCAAACUCCAACCACCAUAACCAUAAAUGA
Molecule: unclassified non-coding RNA, 391 nt
Filed under: Hevea brasiliensis (rubber tree)
Lineage: Eukaryota; Viridiplantae; Streptophyta; Magnoliopsida; Malpighiales; Euphorbiaceae
Source: RNAcentral